AAAACUUUCAACAACGGAUCUCUUGGUUCUGGCAUCGAUGAAGAACGCAGCGAAAUGCGAUAAGUAAUGUGAAUUGCAGAAUUCAGUGAAUCAUCGAAUCUUUGAACGCACAUUGCGCCCCUUGGUAUUCCGGGGGGCAUGCCUGUCCGAGCGUCAUUG
RNAcentral lists this ribosomal RNA (159 nucleotides) under Flavoplaca dichroa. RNAcentral describes it as "5.8S ribosomal RNA". It matches the Rfam family "5.8S ribosomal RNA". Rfam says of the family: 5.8S ribosomal RNA (5.8S rRNA) is a component of the large subunit of the eukaryotic ribosome. The record is from RNAcentral. Lineage: Eukaryota; Fungi; Ascomycota; Lecanoromycetes; Teloschistales; Teloschistaceae.